This is a long non-coding RNA of Sorghum bicolor (sorghum), 998 nucleotides long. RefSeq lists it as uncharacterized. Lineage: Eukaryota; Viridiplantae; Streptophyta; Magnoliopsida; Poales; Poaceae. The transcript is spliced from 2 exons. The record is from RefSeq and is a predicted model, not a curated record.
UCACCAAUACAGCUCAUUUAUUGGUGACGUCUACCAGCAUCGAAGAGACGGACGCCGGCCCGUGCGGUAGGUGUGCCUGGCGGCGGCGGCGGCGGCGUGCGGUCACCCUCUCCAUGGCCGGCAGCCUAACGUUGCGCGCAGUCAGCAGCUUUGACGUCUGUGCUGGCAGUGCUCACGUCCGUGCCCCUCCCCCUCCGAUGGCGGCGACGUCGGGCUCCCACCACCAUGGAUGGCCCUGUUGGCACGCGGCCUGACCUGCGGGCACGGCAGCCCUGCCCUGCUCCUUCGCCGAUCCGCAGCGGUGCGAUGUCGCUCCCCCAUCUACGCGUCCGACCCACGAGCAUGGUGAUCUGUGGCCUGUGGGCGGUAGCCCCUGGUGUCAUGCCGCUUCCCAUCUGGCCAUCCCGCGGUGUCCUCAAUGCCUAUAGCCUGCUGAUCCAGGUAUGUUGGUUAUUGAUUCGCAAGGGAUUCUGAUCUGUUAGUUUAGUUGUUGAUUUGCAGGGGAUGGUGGUGGAUCCAUGUUGGAUAUAUUGUAUCCAUGUUGAAGCUCGUGGAUUCAGGGAAAUUUUUUUCUCCAUCUGGCAUCUGCAUUUCAACGUGUUCUUCACGGCUGUCCUGCAAGUUUUCUACUCCGUAUUUUGCAAGUUUGCACGACCUUCUGAAUUUUAUGGAGCCACUGGACAUGAAUGGAAUGCUACUUCUACAACCAACAGCAAGACCGACCUCUAUGGCGUAACACAACAGACAAAAGAGCACUUCGCACACAUUUUGUUUGUUGUCAUCAUGUAUGCACAUAGUAUGUACACAUACUCUUAUGAAACUGUAGCGAGUAUAUGUACAUACCUGCUUGCAGAGUACUGAGAUAUAUGGUUCAUAAUUCCUGCUUGCAAAGUACAGAGUAUACUCAUACAAAAUAGUAUAUACACAUACUCUGGUGUCGAGAAAACUAUGUACAUGUACUUGAGUAUAUGUAAAUACUCCUCGAGAUAGUACGCAUA